UACGUAGGUGGCAAGCGUUGUCCGGAUUUACUGGGCGUAAAGGGCGUGCAGGCGGUUUGUUAAGUGCAGGGUGAAAGCCCCCGGCUCAACUGGGGAGGGUCAUUCGAUACUGUUCGACUCGAAGGCAGGAGAGGGAAGUGGAAUUCCCGGUGUAGUGGUGAAAUGCGUAGAUAUCGGGAGGAACACCAGUGGCGAAGGCGACUUCCUGGCCUGUUCUUGACGCUGAGGCGCGAAAGCUAGGGGAGCAAACGGG
This 253-nucleotide ribosomal RNA is filed under the name uncultured bacterium. RNAcentral describes it as "partial 16S ribosomal RNA". It matches the Rfam family "Bacterial small subunit ribosomal RNA", at positions 524 to 776 of the family's 1533-position model. The record is from RNAcentral.